Molecule: long non-coding RNA, 1053 nt
Organism: Phalaenopsis equestris
Lineage: Eukaryota; Viridiplantae; Streptophyta; Magnoliopsida; Asparagales; Orchidaceae
Exons: 4
Source: RefSeq, a predicted model, not a curated record
AUAACCCAUAAAAAAGAAAUAUUGCUUUAUCUUUUAUCUCUCCUCAGCGAGAAAUAAAGGCCAUGAUUGAGUCCUCCCACUGCAUUGAAUCUCCUCGCCCCACUCACACGCAACACAAGAAGAACAAUCUCGCUGCAGCACGACCCUUCAUCCUUCCCCCUUCAAUAUAUUCUCCCACCUUCCCUAUUCUCUUCCCCUCCAUCCUCAUACAAAAUUUCCAUUAUCAUACACACCUUUUCUCGCUUGGGAGCACGCUGUUUAUCAUAUUGAUUUCUCAAAGGGUUGCUUGCAGAGGUUAUUGGCAUUCUGUCCACCUCCGACUCUUUGCAUCUCCAAAAUCCUGAGAUCUAACUAUUAUGGAGGUGGGCAUCCUGCCAACAGAUCUCCGUUGUCAUCCCUUUGUGAAAUCGUUCUGAUUCUCUCACCAGCAAUAGGAAGCUUGAUGAGUUUUUCAAGUAUAUCAGAUCUGACUUUAGAACAGGAACGUAAUGGGAAGAUCCGCUCCACCAGAUUUGAUCUCCAAUCUGGAAUACAUCUGUCGGUUCCUCCAUAUUUUCAUGCAAGUAUUGGAGGAUUGCUUUUGGUAGAGCAGGUGUAGCAACCAUUAUUGCCAUGAUAGUGAACUCGGUCAUACUUAAGGCGUAGAAUUAUUUAUCUUUAGCUGAUGUGUUGUAUCUUUGGGGGCUAUGCAAAUAUUUGUAAAACUUCAAAGUUUAUGUGUUAGAUAUGUAAAUACAUAAGAGUGUUGCAUAUAUGUUCUUAUUUAUAAACAGAUGUUGUUAACACUUUGGGGUCUUACUAAAGUUCCAAAACAAUGGUUGUUAUACUAUUCUUUUAAACAGUUUCACCAAACAUGGGUAGUAUGAUCUUUUUUUCAUAAAACAGCUGGUUUCACGCAGCUGCACCAAACAGACAGCCAACUUCCCCACAGCUGCUUCCUGUGGCAGCGUAGCUGCAGCUGCGCCAAACAGAGCCUAUGUCUUGAGUGUUUGUUUUGCGUUUAUUUUGUUUGUGAUUGUAUUGUUUUUAGUUAUGUUCGGUAUGUCUCGUUUA